RNAcentral lists this ribosomal RNA (520 nucleotides) under uncultured Entrophospora. RNAcentral's name for it is "SSU rRNA". It matches the Rfam family "Eukaryotic small subunit ribosomal RNA", at positions 569 to 1085 of the family's 1831-position model. Lineage: Eukaryota; Fungi; Glomeromycota; Glomeromycetes; Entrophosporales; Entrophosporaceae. The record is from RNAcentral.
AGCAGCCGCGGUAAUUCCAGCUCCAAUAGCGUAUAUUAAAGUUGUUGCAGUUAAAAAGCUCGUAGUUGAAUUUCGGGAUUGACGUGAUGGUCAUGCCUUAAGGGGUAUGAACUGUCACAGUUGAUUUCUCACCUUCUGGAGAAACUUGAUGUCCUUUAUUGGGUGUCUUGCGGAUCCAGGACCUUUACCUUGAAAAAUUAGAGUGUUUAAAGCAGGCAUUUUUGCUCGAAUACAUUAGCAUGGAAUAAUAGAAUAGGACGGCAUGGUUCUAUUUUGUUGGUUUCUAGGAUCACCGUAAUGAUUAAUAGGGAUAGUUGGGGGCAUUAGUAUUCAAUUGUCAGAGGUGAAAUUCUUGGAUUUAUUGAAGACUAACUACCGCGAAAGCAUUUGCCAAGGAUGUUUUAUUAAUCAAGAACGAAAGUUAGGGGAUCGAAGACGAUCAGAUACCGUCGUAGUCUUAACCAUAAACUAUGCCGACUAGGAAUCAGACGAUGUUAAUUUUUAAUGUACUCGUUUGGCU